Mytilus trossulus (common blue mussel) is the source of this 967-nucleotide long non-coding RNA. RefSeq lists it as uncharacterized. Lineage: Eukaryota; Metazoa; Mollusca; Bivalvia; Mytilida; Mytilidae. The record is from RefSeq and is a predicted model, not a curated record. The transcript is spliced from 4 exons.
UGUUCUUUAAAUUUCGAGAUAUUAACACUCAAAUCAUUUAAUAAACAAUAACUGGGAUACUAGUACUAAUAGCACUUACAAUACUAAACAACAACUUAAAUAUGGAGGUUUUUGGUUCAAGUGUUGCUUUAGUUUUCUCAAUAUGUUUUUCAUUUUGUAGCGCUGCCAUUUGUUAUUCUGAUAGCCAAUGUCCCUCAGGUUACCAUUGUUGUAGUGGUACUCAAUGGUGUUGUGCUAGUGGUUAUGUUUGUACGGGCACAGCAGCUUGUCUCGGUAUCGGAGUUAUUGUUGGCAUUGUGAUUGGAUGUCUUGUCCUAAUGGCAGUGAUUGCUAUCCUUGUUUAUAAAUUUGUGAUCGCAAAGAGGUCGUAGAAACCUUCACACAGAUACUUCGUGACACAGAGUGCAUAAAUAUUUGUAAACAAAUGAUGUUUUCCAUAUGGUAUCACCAGUUAUCAAACUUACAUUUACCUGAUGUAAUGGACUUUAUACCAACCUUCAUCAUACUCUUUUACAGGAUACUUUCAAAAGACAAGUUCAGAUUAUACAUUUUCGAUAUAAAAAAAUUCACAAACUUGUGUAGAUACAAUUGGAGAUUUUAUCGGUUUUCCCUACGAAUUUACUUUCCUAAUCAGAUCUUCGUAACAUGCCAUAUGACAGCUUUGUGGCAUACUAAUCAAGUGCUCGACUUAGCCUUUUUAACUUUAUUGUGUAUUGUGUAAUGCAGACUUGCUUGAAAACUUAUAUUAAUUAUAGGUAUAAAAAAGUUUUUGAGUGAAUUCUAUACAUUUUUGUUAUCGUCUAAACAAUGUGUGCAUCCAAUAGUAUCUAAACCUCAACGGUUGAGAGUGUUGACAUGUAUUACUUCAAAUGAGCAAAGACUUUGUUCUAUUACUAUUGUUAAAUGAGAUGAUAUAAUAAAUAUACCCUAAUACUGAUGAAUUUACAAAAAAAAUGUCGUCAUGAAA